AUUGAACGCUGGCGGCAUGCCUUACACAUGCAAGUCGAACGGUAACAGGUUAAGCUGACGAGUGGCGAACGGGUGAGUAAUGUAUCGGAACGUGCCCAGUCGUGGGGGAUAACUGCUCGAAAGAGCAGCUAAUACCGCAUACGACCUGAGGGUGAAAGCGGGGGAUCGCAAGACCUCGCGCGAUUGGAGCGGCCGAUAUCAGAUUAGGUAGUUGGUGAGGUAAAGGCUCACCAAGCCGACGAUCUGUAGCUGGUCUGAGAGGACGACCAGCCACACUGGGACUGAGACACGGCCCAGACUCCUACGGGAGGCAGCAGUGGGGAAUUUUGGACAAUGGGCGCAAGCCUGAUCCAGCCAUGCCGCGUGCGGGAAGAAGGCCUUCGGGUUGUAAACCGCUUUUGUCAGGGAAGAAAAGGUUCUGGCUAAUACCUGGGACUCAUGACGGCACCUGAAGAAUAAGCACCGGCUAACUACGUG
Molecule: ribosomal RNA, 477 nt
Filed under: uncultured bacterium
Lineage: Bacteria
Description: partial 16S ribosomal RNA
Rfam family: Bacterial small subunit ribosomal RNA
Source: RNAcentral